Molecule: non-coding RNA, 6650 nt
Organism: Oryctolagus cuniculus (rabbit)
Lineage: Eukaryota; Metazoa; Chordata; Mammalia; Lagomorpha; Leporidae
Source: RefSeq, a predicted model, not a curated record
CCGCGCCCCGCGUGCUCUCCCCGCGCCGCCCACCCCGGAGCCCCCUCCCCUCGCCGCCGCCUCUUCCUCCUCCCCCUCCGCCUCCGUCCUGCCCGAGCGGCCGGCGCGCAGGACGGCGGUGGCCGCGCCGAGGCGUAGCGGAAAGCCCCGGCCAGGGCGCGCGCGGGCUGGGAGCCGGCGACACGGGCCGGGCGGUGCACUGGGAAGCAGACGUUGGAGUUUGCAGCUGGUCUGUAGCGUCUGCAUUUCGCUGGGAAGCACCUCGGACAGAAUUACAGAGAAAGCGAGAGAAAGCGCGAGAGCUUCCAGCUGCUGAUGGCUGCACCAUCCAGGGCUGGGCCAGGCUGAAGCCAGGAGCUCCAUCCGGGUCUCCCAUGUGGGUGCAGGGGCCCAAGGACUUGGGCCAUCUUCCACUGCCUUCCCAGGCCACAGCAGAGAGCUGGAUCGGAAGCAGAGCAGCCAGGACAUGAACUGGCACCCAUAGGGGAUGGCGGCAUUGCAGGCCGUGGCUCUGCCCGCUGUGCCCCCAUGCUGGCCCCACUGGAACUCGAGGGACCUGAGAAGUAGCACAGUGACCACUGUCAGAAGACACCGGGACCCCUUCAGCUUUGCCUUCUCCCAGAAGCCAGGGUUUGCUUGAGGAAACUCGGAACUGACCCGCUGCCCCCACCCCUCCCCGGGGCCCCUGGGCUGGUGUGGUGGCCACAGGCCCAGGCAUGGCAGUGCUGAGGUUGCACCGGUGGGAGAGUGCCCGCCAUGGGAGUGGCUGGCUGUCCUCUCCGUCCUCUGUGGGAUCAGUCGGCACCAGGCUGGGGCUCGGGGAACGUGAGCACGUGUGUGCGUGGUGCUCAGAACUGGGAUGUGCGCUCCUCGGGCUUCUCGGCUUGCUGGCCUCCGGUUUUGUGGAAAGUGUCCUCGGAGGCCAGUCCAGGUAAGCAGGGCUGGCAGGAGCCCUGGGAAGGUCGCGUGGACCUGCGCAGGGAGUGGAGGAUGGGCAGGGGGCUGGAGGUGGGAGUGGGGGGCAAGUGGCAGGGGUCCCCGGUGCUUCUGUAAGCCCGGGAGCGUGAGCGCCUCUGGGCGCCUCCAGCUCCAGGUGCAGGCACAGCUCUGCAAAGGUGGCCCCUGUGCAAUGCAGCCGUCCAGCUGGAGGACCUACAGGCAUCGUCUACAGGUGCAGGAAGAGAGGGAGGCGGGAGGGCGUUGGUUCAGCUUGGCCCUGUGCGUUAUUCUGCCUCUGGGGCCAGGUGAGCGGCCCAUGGGGUCAGGCCCUGGUUAGUUCUGAGUCCAGAUGGGACCCUCCUUUCACAGUGGCCUUCAGACCAGGCCCUGCUGCUGCCCAGGGGACGUCCUGCCCACGGUGUGUCUGGUCUGUCCUUAGCGGGCAGCGUUGAGCUGACGGUUCAUGGAAAGCCAGCUCCAGAAUGCUUACCAUAUUUGGGUUGGUUUGGGAAGUUUUCUGUUAGCUGCUGAGCCCUGGUGGGUUUUGGUGCUGUUUCCGGUGCUGCGGCAUGGGGUUCAAGGCGGCAGGACAGGGAGGAAGCCCGUUCCAGGCUCCCCAGUCUUCCUCCUUCCCUCCCUCCCUCUGCGCCUGCCAACAGGGAUUUCUUGCUGUCGUUUUCUGUUUGCUCUAACGGUUCUCAGCUGAGGCUGGAGGACUCCCCACAGCACGGUCCCCCGCAGCACCUCCACCCCAGGGGUCUUUGGAUAUGGGAGGGGCGGCCUGCCCGCGGCUGUCAGGGACUGGGGAGCAGGACCGCACAGGCGUCACUCCUGGGGUGCUGGUGCCAAGGUUUUGCCAGUCUUUGGUGCUAAGAUACGCAGGUGGUACCGGGAGCCCUCUGGACCCCAGGCCCCGCAGCUGGGCAUGGAAUCGCCCGUGAAGGCCCUUUGCCUCGGCCUGCCCAUCUGUAAGCUGGAGCUGACCGUGCCUCGGGGUUUCUGUGUCCGUCAGGCGGCCGGAGCAGCUGCUGGCACCCCAUGAGCAUCGGGAGUUGCUGCAAGAAAAAAUAAAUCUCUCCCGUCUCCCUUCCGAGUCUUUGUGUCUGCAGGUUUCAGGACAGUUUUUAGUUCCAAUGUAGCCGAGCGAUCUUAGAUUAGUUCCUGAAGGCGUGACUGUUCCUCAGAGGCCGGCGGUGCAGUGGGUGGAGUGCGGCGUCCAGCAGACGCGGUGUGUGAGUGGCAGAUACUGGCAGCCGUGAGGGUGCUUCCGGAAGUCGGGGGGGAAGGGAAUUACAAGAUGAGCUGAUGGCCGUGCGGCGCUGCCCUCAGGUCCGUGCACGACUUGUCGUAGUGCCUGUUUUUCAUGAACUUUUGGAAGGCCCUCGUAGGCCCGGAUUCCAGGACACUUUUGCACAAGGAACUUGAGGUUUUUAUCUCUCCACAGACUCUCGGAAGGACCCUCUGACUUAGGCCCAUUUUCCCAGUUCUAGGGUGGGAGCCGGCAAGUAGACUGUUCCUUGAAAUGAGUGAGCUUUUCUUAGAAGGCCAGGUGCUCCUGGAGCAGGCGAGGAGAGAGCUCUGUGGCUGUUUCCCCCACCCCGCGCCGGGACCCAGUGGGGAUGGGGGAGAGGCCUCCCUCGGCUGCUGGACCUGCCUCCCUGGGGGCCGGUGGCGGUGGUCUCGCUCCUUCCACCAGCCCCCCAGCAGAGCAGGUCGGGCUGCCCCGGCCGUUGCACGUCAGCAGCCCGGACUCGGGCCAGCGCUGUCUCAGCCUGUUGAACCCAUGAAGGCGUCCACAGCUUUGAGCCAAACCCUGUCAUCCACUGAUGUUUCCAGCAGCGCCCGUGCCAAAACCAACAUGAGCCGGCGGGCGCGGCCUGCGAGACCUGUCUCAGCUGCUGUGCGGUGCUCUCUGGUGACUGGAAAGAGCGCUGUGACAGGGCCCCACGCGGGAUGGCGGCCAGGGCCAGGCUCUGACGGUUGCUCACUCCCGCCCCGGGACUCUGAGGGCUCCUCUGAUGGACGGGAACAAUCCCGCCCCAGUGUUUGACCUCCUGAGUCUGAGUCACAGGUUGGACAGCUUUCCGGCGUCCUGCGACCAGCGAGUCGCGGAGCUGGGUUUGGAGCCCCAGCUCUGCCUGCGGCACGCCGGCUGGCCUUUGUCUCGGGGUGACUUCCCCGUGGAGCGUCCUUUCUGAAUGGAGGCACACAGUUCAGCCCCAGAACCGAAGGCAGGAAGGGGCGGGAUGACUGGCAUCCGCCGAGCACCAGACACUGUGUGUGCGUUCACUGCGCGUCUGCACAGCUGCGGCGUGGGUGCUGGACCCCGAGUGCCAGCCUUGUGUAAGUGUCACCACCCUGAGUGGCAGAGCAGGGGUGUGACUGGCGCCUGGCUCUGCUGUGCGGCAGAAGGCCCGGAAGCCAUCUUGGCGGGGUCACUUGCAGCUGUGGGGCAGCACAUGUGCAUGUGGGGGGCACUCCCCGAGGGGUCGGGUGAGCCUCCGUGGGCUGCAGCCUGCUGCCCGGGCGUCGGAGUGCCCGAGCCCCCGGGUGCCGGCCGUGAGGGCUCGGCAGGGCGGGCCCCUGCUCCACAGCCCUGGCUCCGGGGGCUGGCGCCGUGGAGGGUGCUCGGUGCAGAGGCUGCCUUAGUGACCGGGACGUGCACCCUGCGUCCUCGCUCGCGCUUGCAACCCGUGAUUCGUGUUGGUUGACGUCUGAUUCUCGCCGUUGCUCACGGCCGAAGCUCCUGGGUGGCUGAGCCGGGCUCGGAUGCCGCUCCUCCUCCUCCCGGGCCGUGCGCUCCGUCGGGGAGGCUCUGGGAACGCGCUCCGGCGGGGACGGCCGUUCACCGUCAGCCGCUCUGCGCUCACUGGUCUGCUUCGGUGGCUGUUUCUGUGGGGGGUUUGUGCGAGAAGGGGGUGACACGUAGGUGUCUGUCAUCUGCCUGUUUCAGACUAGCGUGGGGCCAGGGAACGGGUGCAGGGCAGGUGACUGCUGCCCGCGUGUGCCUGAGUGCGUGGUGUGUGUGUGUGUGUGUGUGUGUGCGCGCGCGUGCGUGCAUGCUGCAGGCUCCACCCUUAGCACUCGGGUGCCCUGCGAUGGGAGCCAUCUUGGCUGUGCCCACCAUUGUUUAGGGUUCUCCUGGCCUGACAUCCCCUUCCUCCUCCAGACCUCCAGCCCCAAGCUUCCCUUUCCAGCCUUCCCCAACGCGCGGCCUCUUAACACAGGCCGCGGCCCGCUCCAGCCCCUGCUGCAGGCUCAGCCUUGCCUCCUGGGCCAUGGGCUGGGGCACGGUGGGGAGGGGGAGGAUGUGGCAGGGCACGGGGGUCUUGCUUCAGCCUCGCCUCCCGGGCCCCGGGAUGUGAGGGACUGAGUGCCGAGCCUGGGAGCCGCUGGGGUCCCGAUUGGACCGUGGCUCUCCCCGGCCAGACACAGAUGUUGACGAUGGGCGUCGUCCUCCACCAGCCCCCACCCCUGCGGGCCCGGCACAGCCACCUGCGCCUGCCUGAUGGAUGCCGGCAUUGGGCUGGAUUUGGUUUGAGACUGGAAAGACUUUGUGGCUCCUCCAUCUGUCUGCCGGCUCCCAGCGUGAAUGACCUUUUGUUGUGUGAUGCCAGGGCUGUGGGUCCCUCGGGGAGCAGAGCCCAGAGCAGCGUCUGGGGAGGCCCUGAGGGUGCUCUGACCGCGCUGUCUCUGCACCUGCUGCGUCACAUGCUGCUGCCCUCCCUACCACCCUCCCUGCACUGUCUGGAUUAAGAGUGGGCCAGGAAUGCAGGGGGGAGGGGCGGCGAGGGCCCUCUGAGCCUGUUUGUGUUUAGAUGAGUCGCCCUGUUGCUUAUCAAGGCCUUGCUGAUGCCUGAGUGUUGGGAAUAAGGGAAGCCUAGAAAGGGGGCCCUCUGCCCGCCCCUCCUCCCCUACAUGCCUGGGGGCAGUGGCUCCCUGGUUCCCUGUUGUAUGCAGGGGGCACAUCUGCGGCUCCAGACCCCAUCUCUCCCCGGAUGCUGCAUCGUGGAGAACAGGAGCCGGCCCAGGGCAUGCUGACUCCCUGGCUCUCCCUCCCUUCUCUGAGCUCUCUGCACCCACACCCCGCUGUGAGGCUCCUGCCCUGGGCUGUUUUCCUGCAGGGAGGCCUGGGGGACGCUGUGCUGGGCAGGUCAGUAUUGUCUAGACUCAUUCAGGUAGCUGUGCCAGGCGGGGGAGGUGACCCCGGCACACAGCCUGGGGCAGGUCAGGCGGCAUCAGUGACUUCGCUGGGAGCAGGGAGGGAGGCCUGUCGACCUCUCCUUAGAAAGUCGGUGACUUUGCGGCAAAGUAAAAGGAGCUGUUUUCUGGUUUCCGUUGCAUUGUUCGAGAGCUGUGCUGAUUUGUGGAAAGCUCAGAUGGUGCGCAGACAGCGUGCGAGAGAGAUGGUGCCCGCGGCCUGCAGCCUGCGCUCAGAUGUGGGGACACCCCUUGUCGUGUCUGAAGAGUAACCAGAGUGGCCACUGGCCCGAAUCUGCGGAUUUCUCCCUCAGUCACAGUGGUGCCUCGGGCUCAGUCGAGCCUCCCCGCCGGCCCUUGUCUUACUGAGCACGUGCGGUGAGCGGAUUGCGGCCGGCCACCACGGGGCUGUGCCCAUGACGCUGCCGAGCGGCUUGCCCGGGGCAGGGCCACGUUCCGGCGUUUACCGUCCUCGCGCCGCGUGCUGCCCGCCCGUUGCGCUGUGGUCUGAAGUGAUGAAAUGUCCCGAACUUCAGGUGCUUUCCUUUUCUGGCACACGGAGCUUGUGUAACUAGGAGGGAGAGGUCUGAGGGCUGGUUUUGCAGCUUCAGAAGCUAGAAUCCAGGACUCUGCCUGCCGCGUGCGUUUUUCCGGGGGUGACCCUCGUGUGCCUACCAUUUCCUGACUUUGUGAGAUGUUGUCACCUGGACGUUACAUAGUCGAAAGAGCGCCCCUAACGGCCUCUGUUUUGGACAGUCUGUCCCAGUCUCCUGUGGCUCCUAACACUUUACCCAGGAGGACUUCUUGGCAGUAAAAGUCGAAAAUGCUAUUUCGUUACCUGAUAGGGAGUUUGAGAACCGGAGUUCUUCUUUGAAGGUGUAACCCCCCGAGUAAGCCCUGGAGCAUUUCUGGGCAGCAGGCUCUGGUUUCUUCUAGAAUGUUGGCCAGGCCCAGAGGAUUAAUGACCUGUUGUUCCGCCCCUUUGAACCUUAUCUCCCUGACCCGCUGCAGUCCCCAGUGUCACCUGAAACUUGGGCCUGCUCCUUGGCUGCAGCUCUCUGGCUUUGCACUCUGGAGCUGUGAUGGUGAUAAGGCGGUCCUGUGUCUCUUAAGGAGCUUUCCUUUCCUGCCCCAGGGGUUGUGCAUUGAGGCUCCCUGCCUGCUCCUGGGGCUGGCGUCCAGGGCUCCCAGUAACCAGCGACUGUAGGUAAGUGGUGGGCGCGGCUGCCAGCCUGGUUCUCUUCGUAAACUCACGUGGCACGUGGGAGUAGCCAGCGUCUCUCUCUGGUCUGUGAAGCCUUGGCGAGCGGGUCCACGUGCGUGUUCAAGUUGGACUGGAAACACGGGCUUCCCUGGCUCUGCCGCACGUGUGACAAGCGUUGGGCGUUCGACCACUGCUGUUGACAAUCAUCCUUUGUUGGCGUGGCAGAACGGUAGAAGGUGACCCUCUGGGAGUGGUGCCCGAGCAUCCUGGCUGUGCCUGGCGGGUGAGUCCUCAGGCCUGGGGGCUC